Molecule: ribosomal RNA, 253 nt
Filed under: uncultured bacterium
Lineage: Bacteria
Description: partial 16S ribosomal RNA
Rfam family: Bacterial small subunit ribosomal RNA
Source: RNAcentral
UACGAAGGGGGCUAGCGUUGCUCGGAAUUACUGGGCGUAAAGCGCACGUAGGCGGCUCUUUAAGUCGGAGGUGAAAUCCUGGAGCUCAACUCCAGAACUGCCUUCGAUACUGUAGAGCUUGAGUUCGGGAGAGGUGAGUGGAACUGCGAGUGUAGAGGUGAAAUUCGUAGAUAUUCGCAAGAACACCAGUGGCGAAGGCGGCUCACUGGCCCGAUACUGACGCUGAGGUGCGAAGGCGUGGGGAGCGAACGGG